AUGGCUCUCCUCGACAAGGCUCGCUCUGCCUCCGAAGAAGAGGCAAGCCGUCGGCGCGACAUCGAGCGCAGCCGAGCGGAGGCCCGGCGAAAGGUGGAGCAGAUGGCGGAUACCGUGCAGUUCAACGACCCCUGGAUCCAUCACUCCGACGUGACCAAGUCCCCUGAGGAGCUGCUCCAAGCAAGACAGCAAGCUUGGCGUUAUCAAGCUCACCGCAUCGAGAUGGCUCGUCGACGGGACAUGAUGCAGGUCCACGGAUGUGUGCUCAAGUGA
This 273-nucleotide ribosomal RNA is filed under the name Triticum aestivum (bread wheat). RNAcentral's name for it is "partial small subunit ribosomal RNA". Lineage: Eukaryota; Viridiplantae; Streptophyta; Magnoliopsida; Poales; Poaceae. The record is from RNAcentral.